This is a small nuclear RNA of Solanum dulcamara, 128 nucleotides long. NCBI's taxonomy places the organism in Eukaryota, Viridiplantae, Streptophyta, Magnoliopsida, Solanales, Solanaceae. The record is from RefSeq and is a predicted model, not a curated record.
AUAUUUGUAAAAAGGAGAGAUGGUUGCCAUCUCCGUCGACAAGGAUGGGAACAAUCCUCGGGCUUUACCUGUUACCAGAUACAUCCGCUUAAGGCCACCCACUUUAGUGGACCUUACCUAUUUUUAUU